GUCAGUAGCGUUAAGUGUAUUCAUACUGCUAUGUAACAGAUAUCUAGAACUUUUUCAUUAUCCCAAACUGAAACUCUGCACCCAUUAAACAGCAACUUCCACCACCCCUUCCCAGGCCCUGGCCACCAUGCUUGUAUUUUGUCUCUUUGAAUUGGACCACUCUGGGUACCUCAUAGGCCAGCACAGGAACAGAGGACGACACCCAUGACCAGCACUGAAUCCGACAGUGACCCUGGGUAAGCAAACGCUCCUGCUUUUCCAGAGGCUGAAAUGUGUGUCUUUGGAGCCAAUGUAGAAAUACAGCCGGAGGUUACUUCAAGCCAAAAGACAGCAAAGGUCGUCUCCUGUGCGUUUCCAGGGACAAGACCCUCUGCACUGUCCAGGGAGGAGGCUCUCGUGCCCAGUGGUUUCUGCAGGCAACACUGGCUCCCGGCACGGUUUGCUCCCCAGAUGGCCCCAUCUCUAUCAGGAGGCGGUGCAGGAAGGCCUGGGGAGAGCGGUGUGCACCUGCGGCCACCAGGGGGCCGGCGACACGACAGUUACCGGGCACUGACAAACUCCUCACAGUUCCCGCUGAGACAAAGCACCCCUGGACUGGCUCCCCUGCUGUCCUCACCCCCACUCCACCCACCGGGCCAUCUUCCCACAUUCUGGCUUGCGUGGAGGUUCUCCAGCCACAGCUGUCAAUAGAGGAUUGGUGAGACCCUGGGGAAGCCCUGAGGUUUAUCAGCGCGCCUGUGGGUUUGCAAGCGUGUGCGUUCUAUGAAGCUCUAGAGGAGGUGAGCUGUGGCCAGUGCAGCCCAAGCGUAGGGCUUUCAGAGCCCAUGGUAACAGUUAUGUCAUUUUUGCCUGCCCUGCGUACGCCCCAGCGCAGGUGCGGCUUCCUGUGUCCCUGAACAAUGCCCUACAAGCCCAGGGGAGAGCGUGAAGCUCAGCUCAGCUGAACUCGCAGCUACUUAGCUAAGGAGGCUAUGAACAUGGCUUCCAGGUUCCCCACUCCUGCGAUAGGAUGGGCCUGCACAUCCCCCCAGCCUCAGAAGGACCCUUUUUUGUCAUAGGCCAGGGUGAAUCUUCACCUCACUCCCUCAGGAAUAAGAAACGACACUUAGGUGCUUCACACAUGUCAUUCACGAGCUCUGUGAGUCAGUGGCCCGUGGUAGAAACUGCUGCUCUACUGUGCCUUAUAUUUUUCACUCAUUCUAAAAUGAGCUGUGGGAUCUUGGGCCCACUCAUUACUUCCACUUAUCAACUGCAUUUGGCCUAUUUCAUUGCUAGGACUUCUAUUUUAUAACCCCUUACAUGGGACUUGCCACCAGAUAGACUCUUUAUACCAUGAUCCAGUUCAAUUUAAUUCACCGCGCAUUUACCAAGAGCCUGCGUGUGCCUGUCCUUUCCCAAAUAGCAAUCUGCUCAGAUGUGUCCGACAGCCCCUCAUUGGCUACGAGAUGAACCACAGAGUUUUUAGCACGGCUCGUGCAGCUCCAAGACCUUCCAGCCCGGUGUGCCAGCCCAGGGUGAGCCUCUGCCAGGUGCCAGCUGCUGUGACUGUGGCCAUUCCCCUGGACCCACUUGCCUGCCGCCCACGCGACCCCCUCCCGCCGGCCACACGGGCCCCUCGCUGAUCCUGAAUUCGCUGCACAUGUUCAUGAGGACUCUGUAUCCUUGUUCCUGUGGUUUCUACUGCUUAGAGUGCUUCUCUUCCUCCACCUAAAACCCACUCAUCUUCCAAGACCCAGCUCAAGAGGGGCCCUCCUGCAGAACCUCCUGGAGACCCCACCCCAACAUCACACACUGCUCCUUCUGCGCACCCGGCCCUCGGCUGUGUUUCCACAGCACUCACCACUGAUGACCUUGUGUACCUGUCUGUGUUCAUGCGUCUCUCCCUUUGCUUCAAACUGUUAACUUCUUGAGGACAGGAAUGAUGUUACACCCAGCUCAGAACCUAACUAUGUUUAAUUUGCAGGGCCCCAGGCACUGAACGUAAGAGGAUAGAUGAAAAGUUCUUCCACUUAGAAAGUUGUGACAGCCACAAGGGGCUCACUCUGGAGGCUGCAGCCGAGGUCUCAGGACACUGAUCAUGCUGACGAAAGGAGGAAUUCUUACCACACCGGUCCCCCACAAUUCUGCUCAGAAUCUGGUCAAGCGAGAGCGGUAAGACUGACUCCAGUCUUGGCCUUGCACCUCCCCUGAGCGGCUAGAGCUUCUUCCUCCCAUCACUCCUCCCUGCACGGCCUCUUACCACUGCAUUUAUUAAAAAGCAGAGAAUCUGGAGGGUGCUGAUCCUGGAGCACAACCCCAAAUCCACCCAGCUGCCCGGAGGCUCAUGAGAGGCAGAAGAACUGUGAGCCACGCUGAGCCGAGCCCACUCUUGAAAAUGUCCUCAGUAAAGCCUGAUUGGUGUCCACACUGCAGGACACUGCGUUGCUUGCAUUUGCAGGUGGUGCCAGUGGGGACAAUUGCCCCCCACCCCUGAAUAUGGGUUUUUGGGAGUGUGGACCAGCUGAGCUGAUCUGGGGCGGGCAGACUCCCUCUUGUGCUGGUGGACAGCUUGCCCGGUUGGGGUUGUCACUGACCAUGUGAAGAUGGGAUUGUGUUGAGUAUCACAGAAGCCCUUGACGCGGAAGUGUGCAGGGAACUUUGCGGAAAGCAGAGUCCAUCUCCUUGACCCUCCUGGCUGUUUGGAUGUUCGAGUCCCCCGCAGGGCAUUUUCCUCAUGGCUGGAGCAGCCUGGCCCUUCUCACUGGAGGCCUGUUUUCAGGAAAUAUUCUGCUCAGGGGAUCAUUGUGGGGAGACUGGGCUCAUGCCCCAUCACAGAAGAGACUCCUCUGGGGCCCAAAUGCAAACUGGAGUAGCCCAAGGAGGCUGAGGGAGCUUUCCUCCACCUCAGCCAUCUGCCCUCGACUAAGGAAGCUGCAGGCCUGAGUGGACUGCUCCCGGGAAGCCACUUUCAUGGCGUCCCCUCUCCAGGGUGCCCAUCUACCUGGAGCGUCAUCAUCGUCACUGCUGGAGUCAUGUCUCCUGUUGCCAAUCCAAGCUCUGGAGACACAAGUACCACAAGAAAGGUGUUACCCAGAGGCACUCGCCCAUCCUCCCUGCUGCACGGGAGGCCACACCAGCUGCCACAGCAACUCUCUGCUCCGUCCUCUGCUUUCUCAGAACUAACCUGGGCUCUCUGGAAUCAGAGACCUUCAACAAGUCACUGCUCACAUUUGCAAAUGUUCACAUCAAGAGAGGACCCCCUUUCCACGUGCCACUCCCCUCUCUUCCGGAUCAUCGCAGCUCUCCCCACCAGCCUUAUCAAUGUGGGGCUCCAACCCUACAGGUCAGUGAUUCACAAACAGGCACUGUCCCAGGUUGGAGCCACUGCCACGAGCCUGUUCUGCACAGACGGGAAUGUUCCCUCUGCCUUGUGAGCGCAGGGCUAUCGGGCACUGGAAAUAUGCCUGGUGUGAUGAGGUACUGGAGAUUACAUUUGAAAAUUAAUUUAAAAUACAGAUGCACCUGGUUAAUGACUGUGGCACCAGGGAGCCCAGAACUGGGAUUCAGAGAUGAGGGAGACGUCACCUCCCCGCCCCUGGGUUUUCUUUCCAGCGUAGCCAUCAAUGGCCUAGUGUUAUCUUUCAUCCAGUACGUACUUCCUGGGCACAGGCAUAAGUAUCCGGUGCUCUGUGAGGCCCUAGGGGUGCUGAACACUGAGUCACAUCCAGGUCCUAGAGGGGUUCACAGCUGGGGGUGAGGUGUAAACAGAGUGAAGGGCAUGGCCAGCAAAUCCUGUGCUGGAAAAUCAGGGCAGCUGGAGUGAGGGGAGGGGACACCCCACUGUCCCCAGGAGCCCACACACCCAGCCGAAUUUGGCUUUUAAUUCACCUUUCUUGUGAUGUCUUUUGCUGAAUUUGCUGUCAUGAUUGUCCCGAUUAAAAGAGAGAGCAUUGUGUGUUCCCUCUA
This is an RNA transcript of Pan troglodytes (chimpanzee), 3945 nucleotides long. RefSeq lists it as uncharacterized. NCBI's taxonomy places the organism in Eukaryota, Metazoa, Chordata, Mammalia, Primates, Hominidae. The record is from RefSeq and is a predicted model, not a curated record. The transcript is spliced from 4 exons.